This is a long non-coding RNA of Phyllopteryx taeniolatus (common seadragon), 3257 nucleotides long. RefSeq lists it as uncharacterized. NCBI's taxonomy places the organism in Eukaryota, Metazoa, Chordata, Actinopteri, Syngnathiformes, Syngnathidae. The record is from RefSeq and is a predicted model, not a curated record. The transcript has 2 exons.
CCCGGCAGCUUCGACUUGAUGCCGGGCGGGAGCGCUCGGGGCAGUCGGUCUCAAGUGGGCUCCUGCGGGUGCCAGCUUGGCAGAUCACCUCCCGCCGCUGGAUACCGUCGUCACAGGAUGCUGAGCACUGGAGGCAGGACAGAUGCCGUGAAUAACUCUGACCCACAACUAUCUCUGUUUGUGUUUCUUGUGUGCAAGCUAGUGGGUUCUAAUAAGACUUUUCAUUCAUUUCACUUGUAUUUAUCACGUGUGACAUUUUAGCCGUCGAACCAAGAGGCAGUCUGUUUAACCAUGUGUUAUCAUGCUGUGGGGACGGUGGCGUAUCAUUUCCUCCUGGCCUCAUUCUUGCUCUGCAGCUGUUCUGCGAAGACGCACAUCCUUUCUGAUGUAUGAGGUACAGAUGUGUUCCUGUGCUUGGACGCCUCUUGGCCAGAGGGGGAAAAUUCAGAGAAAGACUACACACGCAAGAGGAUGAAAAGAUUGUUGAAGUUGAAUUAAGUCAUGUGUGGGUAUGAUGGCGAGUGUAUACAGUACAUAAUAAUCUUUCUAUUUAAACUAAACAAGAUAAAGCGUACAAAGUAGGAAGAUAAGGCUCAUGUGAGGUGAUUUGUGGAGGUGUCCGAGGCAAGAUAAAAGUGUGGACAGAAUAAUCCUGAUCAAUAUUGAGUUGUUUGAAAUAUUAUGGUAAUUGCAUGCACGCAAACAUUCAUCUACUCAUCCAUUUUCUGUAUAGGUUGUCUUCAUUAGCGUUGCAACAACCAUUCACACUCACAUUCACACCCAAAAGCUCUCAGUUUGGUACAGUGCCAUCUUACACUUAUACUACCCUGAACCACAAUUAAAAACAUCCCAUUAUGUUAACACAUUUCUAAAAAUGACAAUUGAAAACUGAGCAUUAUUAUCUUGGUAAAGUCAGACUUUUGGAUACAGCUCUUGUUUUGGAUCACAUUGCACUGAGCAAGGCAUGUCUACAUUUUAUUGCGGCAGAUACAGUAAGUGGACAUUCACAGCACUGCAUACACUGGAUGUUGACAAUAUUACCAGUAAAUAAUAGGCCACAGUCGGUGAUGCAAAUCCUUCUACAGCCCUACUGCUGUGUAACCCUGGCCUAAAUUUUUUUUUCUAUUUCCAUUACCUUCAACACCAAGACAAACAUACAGUUGGUAACAUAAUGGGCUCUGUUUUCAUGACCGGUGGCGUGUUAGACCGGGUAUUGUUAAUUUGGCAGACGGGCACAAGGCGUCGUAUUUAAAAAAGGGCGCCGGCCGGUGUGGACGUCAACACAGCAAACUUCUCUCCUGUCCAAUCUAAGCGUCUCCUCUCAUUCCCUUUAAAUGCAGCGUGUGAGAAGCGCAAUGACAGUCAUUGACAAGGCAGAAGAGGAAACUGAUUUGCUCGAGUCCGGGAGGUCGAAGCGCGCAAAGUACAUUUAUACUGAACUCCAAGCACACCUCCAUGAUGAUGUGAAGUUGGCGUGGGGGGAGAUUGCGGAUCUGCGUUGUUAAGGGGGUACUUGGAGACGGCACUCUAACCUGAUCAAUUGUGUGGCAGCCAGUGGGAUGAUUUAAAAAUAUAAUAAUAAUAAUAAUAACAAUAAUAAUAAUAAUAAUAACAUUCAAUUAUUUGAUUUCUAUAAUGAUUCCGUUUUUGUUGGCCUUUCAUCACAUAGGCCUCUUAAUGAAUGUCCGUGGAUCUCACAGAUUUGUCUGCCUGUGGCACCAAAAUCGCAUCAGACCAGCAGUCUACCUUGCGCCAAAAGCUUGACAUGGCUUGAGCAGGCGUAAGUUUAGACAGACAGUCACUAAAUUGUCACAUGCACCAGGAGGAUGUCAAAGGGCAUACCUUCAUUACGCCAGUACGCCCAGCUUGGCGCAGACCGGUCUGCCAAAUUGCCAAACGGGCAACGAGCCUUGCGCUUGCACAAAUAUUAGGUUUUUGCCAGUUUUUGUGCUUUGCUGCAGUUGAAAAGAAAAUAUAGCCCAAUAUGUUACAGCACCUUGUUUUGUGGCAAGUGCACAAAACAUUUGUUGAGGUGAUAUGCAUCAAAUUGACAAAGAGGCAAAAUUAACAAGGUCUACAUUAGGAAAAAGAAGUGUUUAAUUGGGGUGUAAAAGAAGCCUACCUCCUCCCAGCUGCCAGUCUUCCACUUGGGACAGCGGCCACCUUGGCAGCGCCUCUGCUUGUUGGGUUUGGGGGUCAAGUGCUGGCAGUUUUCGUCUUCAACAGAGCGGCCUGACCUAGUCAAACAGCGCACCUUGCGGGACUUGAAGCCUCUUCCACAAGUGGCUGAGCACUGCAAGAUAUCAAAGAAAUGGCGUUGAACAAAAAAAAUCAAAAGUUAGGUUCGGACUCCAGCAAAUACUGUCAUUGUCAACCUCGAAAGACAAUUCUUUGUUGUCCUCAUCAUUUGUUGGUGAUUUGAGAUUAUGAAAAACAAAACCACAACACACAAGCAAAUUACUACAGUAUAUUGCAUAUAAAUUUAACAUAACCAAGCAUACAGUAAAGAGACCAAUAAUCCACAACGCUCAUCUCACUGUAGCCUAACAAUAAAAUAAGAACCAUUGAAACUUGGAAUAUUGCACAUCAUUGUGUUGUACAAAUACAAACCAAAGUCAAACAGCAGGGGUUUCAAGUUAAAACUAUAGAGAUGAAAAUGUGACGCCAGUGCAGGUAUAAUUCCAAAUUUUAUGAAUUUGCAUGAUUCCUGCAUGACUGUUGCGAACCCAAUGACAGCAUGUGCCGGAUCACCCCGGCGGAACUUUCUUUCACUUCCAGGUUCACCGAGUUAGCGAAAGCCUAACUUGUUGUGACAGGCAGACACACACAGACACACAGACACACACUCACACACGCACGCACACACAGUGCAAUGUUACAGAGGGCUGGGAAGGGGGCGUGGAAAGGGCUGGACUGAGCUCAGAUAAUCACAGGGGGCGUAGUACAGUAUCUGGGGAUGGAUGGGAAGCGACAGGCUCUGAGUUGAAUGGGUACAUGGCCCAGCAUGCAGUUCUGUCCCGUGCAGCAAGAUAAUGUACUGGACAGGAACGCCAUACGAACUUUCACCUCAUUCAGACCUCAUUCAUCAAUGAAGGGGCUAAUAAAAUAUGGAGUUUUUGUUUUUUAAAUCAAGCAUUGAGAGAGUUGGGUAAUAAUUAAGGUUGGUUACCUUUGCUCAAAGGAAUGAUAGAAAUCUGCAUGUGAUGGUUUUGUGCCUUUUUUGUGACAAUAAAAAUUGAAUAAAUCGAUAAAAACUA